Molecule: ribosomal RNA, 228 nt
Filed under: uncultured bacterium
Lineage: Bacteria
Description: partial 16S ribosomal RNA
Rfam family: Bacterial small subunit ribosomal RNA
Source: RNAcentral
CGGGUGAGUAAUGUCUGGGAAACUGCCUGAUGGAGGGGGAUAACUGCUGGAAACGGUAGCUAAUACCGCAUAACGUCGCAAGACCAAAGAGGGGGACCUUCGGGCCUCUUGCCAUCGGAUGUGCCCAGAUGGGAUUAGCUAGUAGGUGGGGUAACGGCUCACCUAGGCGACGAUCCCUAGCUGGUCUGAGAGGAUGACCAGCCACACUGGAACUGAGACACGGUCCAG